This 399-nucleotide long non-coding RNA is filed under the name Phasianus colchicus (ring-necked pheasant). RNAcentral describes it as "lncRNA (ENSPCLG00000005602.1)". Lineage: Eukaryota; Metazoa; Chordata; Aves; Galliformes; Phasianidae. The record is from RNAcentral.
GCCUCAGCCCUUCUCCAGCCCUAUGUAAGCCCUACAUUACCCAUUCUCUGCUGAGAUGGAGAGCAGAAAUGACAAAGUGCAGAAGGAGAGGUAGGAGCAGUGGGUGUCCCUGAGUCCCACAAGCCCUGUAGAGCUGUGCAUUGCCAAAUACUUGCCCUCUCUCUGCUGGAUUCUUGACUAACUUCUGCACAGGAGCGCUCUAGGACCCAAGAAGCACUGAGAAUUUCCCCUGGAGUCAGGCUGUAUCCCAGCCCUUCUGCAGAACAAGAUUCAGAUCCUCAGGUAGGACCCAGGUUUGGGGUACAGCGAGGCUGGAGCCUGAUGCUGCUUUGUCCAGAUUGACUUUUCUGACAUUUUGCUGAGCAUCAGAAGGAUGCAGACAGCUUGGGCUGUUUAGAA